GACGAACGCUGGCGGCGUGCCUAAUACAUGCAAGUUGAGCGCUGAAGGUUGGUACUUGUACCAACUGGAUGAGCAGCGAACGGGUGAGUAACGCGUGGGGAAUCUGCCUUUGAGCGGGGGACAACAUUUGGAAACGAAUGCUAAUACCGCAUAAAAACUUUAAACACAAGUUUUAAGUUUGAAAGAUGCAAUUGCAUCACUCAAAGAUGAUCCCGCGUUGUAUUAGCUAGUUGGUGAGGUAAAGGCUCACCAAGGCGAUGAUACAUAGCCGACCUGAGAGGGUGAUCGGCCACAUUGGGACUGAGACACGGCCCAAACUCCUACGGGAGGCAGCAGUAGGGAAUCUUCGGCAAUGGACGAAAGUCUGACCGAGCAAACGCCCGCGUGAGUGAAGAAAGGUUUUCGG
Molecule: ribosomal RNA, 406 nt
Filed under: Lactococcus lactis
Lineage: Bacteria; Bacillati; Bacillota; Bacilli; Lactobacillales; Streptococcaceae
Description: bacterial SSU rRNA
Rfam family: Bacterial small subunit ribosomal RNA
Source: RNAcentral